Molecule: long non-coding RNA, 441 nt
Filed under: Homo sapiens (human)
Lineage: Eukaryota; Metazoa; Chordata; Mammalia; Primates; Hominidae
Description: non-protein coding lnc-CD109-7:1
Source: RNAcentral
GGGACCCAGAAAUCUUCAUAUUCUCAUGGAUCUCAAUCCAUUUUUAGCCAUUGAUAAAUUUCAGAACUAGGGGAUUAAAAUGUAGAAAACAAGUUUAGGAAGCUCACCUAGGAAAGCAAAUAAUAUCAAUAAUAUCAAUAAUACAGUAAAUAAUAUAUUUUUCAACUAUCUGCCAAUAAUUAUCUUCCUGAAAUCUGGAAAUUUUUAAAAAUUUGGUUUUAUUUUUAAUUGUGUAUUUUUGGAGUUUAAUGUAAUGUUUUGAUACAUAUACAGUGGAAUGAUCAAAUGAGGUUAAUUAGCAUAUCUAUCAUUUCAAAUAUUUAUUAUUUCUUUGUGGUGAGAAAUCCUCUCUUUUUGAAAGGUACAUUAUACAGUUAUUAAUGUAAUAUUUUACAUGUUUUGUAAAACAUUUGAAAGGUACAUUACAUAUUAUUAACUACA